CGGCGGACGGGUGAGUAACACGUGGAUAACCUACCUAUAAGACUGGGAUAACUUCGGGAAACCGGAGCUAAUACCGGAUAAUAUAUUGAACCGCAUGGUUCAAUAGUGAAAGACGGUUUUGCUGUCACUUAUAGAUGGAUCCGCGCCGCAUUAGCUAGUUGGUAAGGUAACGGCUUACCAAGGCAACGAUGCGUAGCCGACCUGAGAGGGUGGUCGGCCACACUGGAACUGAGACACGGUCCAG
Molecule: ribosomal RNA, 244 nt
Filed under: uncultured Staphylococcus sp.
Lineage: Bacteria; Bacillati; Bacillota; Bacilli; Caryophanales; Staphylococcaceae
Description: partial 16S ribosomal RNA
Rfam family: Bacterial small subunit ribosomal RNA
Source: RNAcentral